GUGGUGGUGGUGGUGGUGGUGGUGGUGGUGGUUGGGGUGGUGGUGGUGGAAGUGACACCAGUGGAGGUGGUUUCAGUGGUGGGAGAUGGAGAAGACAUUAAUCCAGACGUGGUGGAGGCCGUUGUGGUCACAGGUGUGGAGGUGAGGCCUGUGGAGGUGCCUGGAGUUGUACUGGAGGCUGUGGUGGUCUCAGAUGACGUGGUGGAGGACAAUGUGGAGGUCAUGAGUGUUGUAGUGAGGCCUGUGGAGGUCCCUGGAGUGGUUGAGGAGGCCGUGGAGGUCACGGAAGAGGUUGUGGAGGCCACAGAGGAGGUCCCCAAAGUGGAGGUAAGGCCUGUGGAUGUUGCUGGAGUUGUGCUGGAGACGGUGGAGGUCUCAGCUGAGGUCAUGGAGGAUGAUGUGGUGGUCACUGGUGUGGUUGAGGAGACUGUGGAGGUCUCGGAGGAGGUGGUGGAGGCCACAGUCGAGGUCACUGCUGUGGAGGUGAGGCCUGUGGAGGUCAACGGUGUGGUUGAGGAGGCCAUGGAGGUCUCUUGGGAGGUGGUGGAGGCCGUUGUGGAGGUCACAGGUGUGGAGGUCAGGCCUGUGGAGGUGCCUGGAGUUGUGCUGGGCGUUGUGGAGGUCUCAGAAGAUGUGGUCGAGGCCGAUGUGGAGGUCAAAGCAGUGGAAGUGAGGCCUGUGGAGGUGUCUAGUGUGGUUGAGGAGGCCGUGGAGGUCUCUGAGGAGGUGGUGGAGGCCACAGUCGAGGUCGAAGGAGUGGAGGUGAGGCCUGUGGUGGUACCUGGAGAUGUUGAGGAGAUUGUGGAGGUCUCGGAAGAGGUGGUGGAGGCAGAUGUGGAGGUCAGGGUUGUGGAGGUGAGGUCUGUGGAGGUUUCUGGAGUAGAGGUGGAGGCCGUGGUGGUCUCAGAUGAGGUUGUAGAGGCCACUGUGGAGGUCACAGGUGUGGAGCUGAUGCCUGUGGAGGUCCCUGGAGUAGUUGAGGAUGACGUGGAAGUCUGUGGGGACGUGGUGGAGGCCGCUGUGGAGCUCAUGGCUGUGGAGGUCAGGCCUGUGGAGGUUCCUGGAGUUGUACUGGAAGCUGUGGAGGUCUCAGCUGAGGUGGUGGAGGCCACAGUGGAGGUCAAAGGAGUGGAGGUGAGUCCUGAGGAGGUCCCUGGAGUUGUUGAGGAGGCCAUGGAGGUCUCUGAAGAGGAGGUGGAGGCCACUGUGGAGGUCACAGGCGUGGAGGUGAGGCCUGUGGAUGUUGUUGGAGUUGUGCUGGAGAUGGUGGAGGUCUCACUAAAGGUUGUGGAGGAUGAUGUGGUGGUCACUGGUGUGGUUGAGGAGGCCAUGGAGGUCUCUGAGGAGGUGGUAGAGGCCACAGUCGAGGUCACUGGUGUGGAGGUCAAGCCUGUGGAGGUCAACGAUGUGGUUGAGGAGGCUGGGGAUGUCUGUGGGGAGGUUGAAGAGGCCGUUGUGGAGGUCUCCAGAGUGGAGGUGGAGGCCGUGGCGGUCUCAGAAGAGGUUGUGGAGGCCACUGUGGAGGUCACAGGUGUGGAGCUGACGCCUGUGGAGGUCCCUGGAGUAGUUGAGUAG
RNAcentral lists this long non-coding RNA (1575 nucleotides) under Anas zonorhyncha (Eastern spot-billed duck). RNAcentral describes it as "lncRNA (ENSAZOG00000016567.1)". Lineage: Eukaryota; Metazoa; Chordata; Aves; Anseriformes; Anatidae. The record is from RNAcentral.